Molecule: long non-coding RNA, 627 nt
Organism: Pimephales promelas (fathead minnow)
Lineage: Eukaryota; Metazoa; Chordata; Actinopteri; Cypriniformes; Leuciscidae
Source: RefSeq, a predicted model, not a curated record
GGCUUUUUGUUUUAUUAUCCCUCUUUCUCUCUCGAUGAGUUUGUUCUGUUUUCUCGGAGCUCUUGUUCGGUUCUGGUCAGGAUUAAUUACAGGAUUCUCUCUCUCUCACACACACACACACACACACACACGAACAGUCGCACACACAGAAAGAGAGAACUUAUGUGGAUAUUUCUGCUUCUCAUCGAUUUACUUUUACAGUCAUCAGAAGGACACACUGUGGAAGACGGAUCACAUCUGGAGUAUCAGACCCUGCAGAAGAGAUAAAGUCUGAAACGAGAGAUGGAAAGCAGAAAGAAGGACUCAAAAUUCAAUGAAUCAUGGGAGAAAUGUGUGCUGAAGCUUAUUCGCAGAGAAAGCAUGCAGCAAAAACCAAACAUGUGUCUGGAUGCAGCCGGACCGGUAGAGUUUCAUUGUGCUGAAUCAGAGACAGUCACAGAUUACUACUGUACAUCCAGCUUUUUUGAGCUUUCUUUAGCUCUUAUUCAGCAGUGAGUGACGUCACAGUGUGUCUCCAUCUGCUGGACAGAGUCCUGUAACGCAAGAGGAUGCUUAAAGUCCCCGUGAAAUCAAAAUUAAACCUAUUUACUUUGUUAUCGCAUAUUACUAGUCUUGUGGUGAACAAUU